This 429-nucleotide ribosomal RNA is filed under the name Bacillota bacterium. RNAcentral's name for it is "Firmicutes bacterium partial 16S ribosomal RNA". It matches the Rfam family "Bacterial small subunit ribosomal RNA", at positions 355 to 776 of the family's 1533-position model. The record is from RNAcentral. Lineage: Bacteria; Bacillati; Bacillota.
UAGGGAAUCUUCGGCAAUGGACGGAAGUCUGACCGAGCAACGCCGCGUGAGUGAAGAAGGUUUUCGGAUCGUAAAGCUCUGUUGUUAGAGAAGAACGUUGGUAGGAGUGGAAAAUCUACCAAGUGACGGUAACUAACCAGAAAGGGACGGCUAACUACGUGCCAGCAGCCGCGGUAAUACGUAGGUCCCGAGCGUUGUCCGGAUUUAUUGGGCGUAAAGCGAGCGCAGGCGGUUCUUUAAGCCUGAAGUUAAAGGCAGUGGCUUAACCAUUGUACGCUUUGGAAACUGGAGGACUUGAGUGCAGAAGGGGAGAGUGGAAUUCCAUGUGUAGCGGUGAAAUGCGUAGAUAUAUGGAGGAACACCGGUGGCGAAAGCGGCUCUCUGGUCUGUAACUGACGCUGAGGCUCGAAAGCGUGGGGAGCAAACAGG